GACGAACGCUGGCGGCGUGCUUAACACAUGCAAGUCGAGCGGUAAGGCCCUUCGGGGUACACGAGCGGCGAACGGGUGAGUAACACGUGGGUGAUCUGCCUCGCACUCUGGGAUAAGCCUGGGAAACUGGGUCUAAUACCGGAUAUGACCACGAAUCGCAUGGUUUGUGGUGGAAAGGUUUACUGGUGCGAGAUGGGCCCGCGGCCUAUCAGCUUGUUGGUGGGGUAACGGCCUACCAAGGCGACGACGGGUAGCCGGCCUGAGAGGGCGACCGGCCACACUGGGACUGAGACACGGCCCAGACUCCUACGGGAGGCAGCAGUGGGGAAUAUUGCACAAUGGGCGAAAGCCUGAUGCAGCGACGCCGCGUGAGGGAUGACGGCCUUCGGGUUGUAAACCUCUUUCGACAGGGACGAAGCGCAAGUGACGGUACCUGUAGAAGAAGCACCGGCCAACUACGUGCCAGCAGCCGCGGUAAUACGUAGGGUGCGAGCGUUGUCCGGAAUUACUGGGCGUAAAGAGCUUGUAGGCGGUCUGUCGCGUCGAUCGUGAAAACGUGCAGCUCAACUGCGCGCCUGCGGUCGAUACGGGCAGACUAGAGUACUUCAGGGGAGACUGGAAUUCCUGGUGUAGCGGUGAAAUGCGCAGAUAUCAGGAGGAACACCGGUGGCGAAGGCGGGUCUCUGGGAAGUAACUGACGCUGAGAAGCGAAAGCGUGGGUAGCGAACAGGAUUAGAUACCCUGGUAGUCCACGCCGUAAACGGUGGGUACUAGGUGUGGGUUUCCUUCCACGGGAUCCGUGCCGUAGCUAACGCAUUAAGUACCCCGCCUGGGGAGUACGGCCGCAAGGCUAAAACUCAAAGGAAUUGACGGGGGCCCGCACAAGCGGCGGAGCAUGUGGAUUAAUUCGAUGCAACGCGAAGAACCUUACCUGGGUUUGACAUACACCGGAAAGCCGUAGAGAUACGGCCCCCCUUGUGGUCGGUGUACAGGUGGUGCAUGGCUGUCGUCAGCUCGUGUCGUGAGAUGUUGGGUUAAGUCCCGCAACGAGCGCAACCCUUAUCUUAUGUUGCCAGCGCGUAAUGGCGGGGACUCGUGAGAGACUGCCGGGGUCAACUCGGAGGAAGGUGGGGACGACGUCAAGUCAUCAUGCCCCUUAUGUCCAGGGCUUCACACAUGCUACAAUGGCCGGUACAGAGGGCUGCGAUACCGCGAGGUGGAGCGAAUCCCUUAAAGCCGGUCUCAGUUCGGAUCGGGGUCUGCAACUCGACCCCGUGAAGUUGGAGUCGC
This 1290-nucleotide ribosomal RNA is filed under the name Nocardia otitidiscaviarum. RNAcentral describes it as "bacterial SSU rRNA". It matches the Rfam family "Bacterial small subunit ribosomal RNA", at positions 28 to 1335 of the family's 1533-position model. Lineage: Bacteria; Bacillati; Actinomycetota; Actinomycetes; Mycobacteriales; Nocardiaceae. The record is from RNAcentral.